RNAcentral lists this transfer RNA (85 nucleotides) under Alphaproteobacteria bacterium. RNAcentral describes it as "tRNA-Leu". It matches the Rfam family "tRNA". Rfam says of the family: Transfer RNA (tRNA) molecules are approximately 80 nucleotides in length. The record is from RNAcentral. Lineage: Bacteria; Pseudomonadati; Pseudomonadota; Alphaproteobacteria. RNAcentral also lists the same sequence under 1 other name.
GCGGGCGUGGCGGAAUUGGUAGACGCGCUGGUUUUAGGUACCAGUGAGGCAACUCGUGGGGGUUCAAGUCCCUCCGCCCGCACCA